CCUUGCAGUGCCAGCUCCAUGGAGGCCAGAGAGCAUUCUGGCUCCUUUCUGCACAGAGAACAGUGCCUGGCACAUAGUAGGAGCUCAGUAGAACAUUUGCUGAGUGAGCAAACGAACCAGCUGUUUCUGGAUGUGCAGAGAAGAGGCUGAAGAUGAACUAAGAAACAGGGCAGUGCAUGGCCGCCUGGGUCCUGACCCUCGUGCUGCAGACCCUGGGGAAUCAGCGAGGAGGACCAAGCCACUGCCCUUGCCCAGCUGUCCCAGACGUUGGGGGAAGAGGCGGAUGUGUGGCUGGCUGGCCCUGGCCACAAACAGCCUCCCGGGACAGCCUGGGCUCUGCCGGGGCCUGUCCCGAAGCUCCUGGUUCCUGCUGUGCUACUCGAGCCAUGGCCAGCGCCCGGCCGAGGAUCAGGGAGCCGGAGACAAACAGCGGCAAAGCCAAGGGCUGGGAAGGAGGUGAGCCCAACAGGGAUGGCUGGGGACAUCGGUCUCCUGAGCUUCCCUGCAGAAGGGCUGAGAGCGUCCAGCACAUGGCCAGGGGCCUGGCCCCCUCAGGACUCCUUGAAGACACACUGUAGGCGGCUAAACCUACGCGGAGCCGCCACGGCCUCUCUCCAGACCGGGCUGUUCUUCCCGCCUCAGGUGCCUCUCCACGCUCCUUCUGCCACGGAACUCCUGAUACGGGGCCUCCCCCACGUCUUCUGAGGUGGACUCUCCCUGCUGCGGCCGCCACCAUCACAGCUAACGCUUAGCAAAUAGGCCCCAUGUGGGAUGGGAUUCCAACUCCAAAGCCACCAUGAAGCUAGGUCGCAGCCAUGUGCAGCUCAGGGUGGCUGAGGUCAUCAGCUCCUGUGCUGGCCAUAGAGACAGAGCCCACACACCCUCACAGCGUCACAACACGAUGCCCUCCAGCACUGGACGUGGCCUCCAGCACUGUCCCUGGGCACCCUCUCCUGAUCCUUUUCCUUUGGCAUCUGUUUGACACUGAGAAUCUGGAGAAACAGGGCCAUACCACUUGACCAGAUGCCCGGCUGUCUCUCCUCCCCUCCCUGCCCACCUGGCAAACUCUUGCUGGGGCCUCUCAGAGCCCACCUCCCAGCAGGUGCCUCUUCUCAGGGUCCCACGGCUCUCCCCGGCACCGCCAGACAGUGACCCUUCAGUUUCCAGGGUCCAGCACCAACCUGGCCCAGGUGUGCUCAGUGUUUAUCGAAUGAAUGAAUCCAGCCCAACACAGGUGGGUUCUAAAGUCCACCUGGAGUCACAGGGAUUAAACCGGGUGCUGGUUUGGGUACUUAAUAAAACUGUGAUUGCAGGAAGGUCUGCUCACCCACUUGAACCUCAGUUUCCUCCUCCACAGGGUGCAGCAGUGGGGAACAAAGACGGGCGGAAGGGCAUCAUACCCUGAGUUCAUCUGUGAGGGGUCCUGGUGUCAGUUGGAGCCCAGGUCAGGGAAGGAGGGCUUGGGAGUG
This 1469-nucleotide long non-coding RNA is filed under the name Marmota monax (woodchuck). The record is from RNAcentral. Lineage: Eukaryota; Metazoa; Chordata; Mammalia; Rodentia; Sciuridae.